UGUUCCCACCCCCUUGGCUGGUCUUCUCUGUGCCCAGACUGUGCCCAGCACAGUGUAGACACCCAGUAAGCAAUCCUUAAAAUACGAAUAGCUUGUGUCUGUCGGGCACUGCUGACUGGCCAGGCACAUUAUAUGACCCACCUCAUUUCAUCACGCCCACAGAACCUUGUCUGUUGUUACCCCUGUAUUACAGACGAAGAAACAAAGGCACACAGGGAGUGAUGUCACCUGCCAGAGUUACAGAGCUGGAAAGGAGCAGAGGCUGGAAUGUUCGAGAACACAGCAUCUGUGCUGAGACCACAAGGAGUGCCGGUUACUUAGAUGUCUCCGGGGGCAAACAGGGGGAUGACUUUUCCCAGCGGAAGGCAUCAGCAUAGAGCCCAAGGAGAAGAAAACAUUGGCAGAUUUUGGAGAGAUGGAAAUAUAUCUUGGAGUGAAAACUGAAUCGUCAAAGGAAAACGUUUUAACUUCUUGGGUAAGCUGAAAUGGAAGGAGAAUCAUCUUCAUAUGGGUAGACCACGGAAUUCAACAGAAGCUCAUUUGUUAACUCAAAUAGUCCAAUCAUGAUGCCUGCAGACAACUGCCCCUUAAUGACAAGGGCAUUAAGAAAAGCAAAGGGCGGGUAGGGUCGGUGAAACAUGCUUGGCCUCCACUUUCCAUGGAAGAGAAGGCUACUGCUGAAAUACAAGAAACUGACGCAGGAGUUUCCAAACUGGCCUAACUGCGUUGCCAAGGGCAUGAAGUCUGGAAGGGCCUUUGAGGGGCAUGUGACUACGCACCAUUUCCAGUGUAUACGCUGACUUUAGAACCUGACCUCUGCAGAAGAUCAGUCUCCACGGCCCCCACAGCAUACAGAAUUAUGCAUCCCCGUACCCGUAUAUAUUAAAUACCAUUUCCCGGUAGGUGAAACAACAGUUUCCUGAAUAAA
This is a non-coding RNA of Manis javanica (Malayan pangolin), 928 nucleotides long. NCBI's taxonomy places the organism in Eukaryota, Metazoa, Chordata, Mammalia, Pholidota, Manidae. The record is from RefSeq and is a predicted model, not a curated record.